UCUAAUACUGGAUAUGACUGCCGGCCGCAUGGUCUGGUGGUGGAAAGAUUUUUUGGUUGGGGAUGGACUCGCGGCCUAUCAGCUUGUUGGUGAGGUAAUGGCUCACCAAGGCGACGACGGGUAGCCGGCCUGAGAGGGUGACCGGCCACACUGGGACUGAGACACGGCCCAGACUCCUACGGGAGGCAGCAGUGGGGAAUAUUGCACAAUGGGCGAAAGCCUGAUGCAGCAACGCCGCGUGAGGGAUGACGGCCUUCGGGUUGUAAACCUCUUUUAGUAGGGAAGAAGCGAAAGUGACGGUACCUGCAGAAAAAGCACCGGCUAACUACGUGCCAGCAGCCGCGGUAAUACGUAGGGUGCAAGCGUUGUCCGGAAUUAUUGGGCGUAAAGAGCUCGUAGGCGGUUUGUCGCGUCUGCUGUGAAAUCCCGAGGCUCAACCUCGGGCUUGCAGUGGGUACGGGCAGACUAGAGUGCGGUAGGGGAGAUUGGAAUUCCUGGUGUAGCGGUGGAAUGCGCAGAUAUCAGGAGGAACACCGAUGGCGAAGGCAGAUCUCUGGGCCGUAACUGACGCUGAGGAGCGAAAGCGUGGGGAGCGAACAGGAUUAGAUACCCUGGUAGUCCAC
This 623-nucleotide ribosomal RNA is filed under the name Curtobacterium sp. Pd-S-(l)-l-D-3(6). Its description in RNAcentral is "bacterial SSU rRNA". It matches the Rfam family "Bacterial small subunit ribosomal RNA", at positions 162 to 798 of the family's 1533-position model. The record is from RNAcentral. Lineage: Bacteria; Bacillati; Actinomycetota; Actinomycetes; Micrococcales; Microbacteriaceae.